This 495-nucleotide ribosomal RNA is filed under the name uncultured bacterium. Its description in RNAcentral is "partial 16S ribosomal RNA". It matches the Rfam family "Bacterial small subunit ribosomal RNA", at positions 28 to 505 of the family's 1533-position model. The record is from RNAcentral.
GAUGAACGCUGGCGGCGUGCCUAAUACAUGCAAGUCGAGCGAACAGAUGAGGAGCUUGCUCCUCUGACGUUAGCGGCGGACGGGUGAGUAACACGUGGAUAACCUACCUAUAAGACUGGGAUAACUUCGGGAAACCGGAGCUAAUACCGGAUAAUAUAUUGAACCGCAUGGUUCAAUAGUGAAAGACGGUUUUGCUGUCACUUAUAGAUGGAUCCGCGCCGCAUUAGCUAGUUGGUAAGGUAACGGCUUACCAAGGCAACGAUGCGUAGCCGACCUGAGAGGGUGAUCGGCCACACUGGCACUGAGACACGGUCCAGACUCCUACGGGAGGCAGCAGUAGGGUAUCUUCCGCAAUGGGCGAAAGCCUGACGGCGCAACGCCGCGUGAGUGAUGAAGGUCUUCGGAUCGUAAAACUCUGUUAUUAGGGAAGAACAAAUGUGUAAGUAACUAUGCACGUCUUGACGGUACCUAAUCAGAAAGCCACGGCUACCUACG